Molecule: long non-coding RNA, 976 nt
Organism: Armigeres subalbatus
Lineage: Eukaryota; Metazoa; Arthropoda; Insecta; Diptera; Culicidae
Exons: 3
Source: RefSeq, a predicted model, not a curated record
CAGAAUUAGCGCGGCAAAUUGAGUCCUGGAACAACCACACAACGUGUGUUGGUUUGGCGCAAGCACCGAAAUUCCGGGGGGCCAGACAUCCAGCACCAGGGUCGAUUACCACACGAUCGAACGACUGGGGGAGCGCACUGAGGGGAUCUCGCACGGCGUCGUUCUUUCCGGACACGGUCCACAUCCGACCAACAGAAGUGCUUUCCCAGGAAGCUAAAGUGAACACACAUUGUUGGCGAUCGGAGAAGCAAACUGACGGGAUCCCGCACGCCAUCACUCUUUCGGAACGUGGUCCACAUUUGAGCAACAGAAGAGCCUUCCCAGGAAGUACGAAUGAACGGGUAUUUUUAGCCGCACUCAUUCUAACCAGAAAUUUGCCUCAGGGCUCUUUCUUUUGUGCUUUCUGCAGCUAGACACGCUGAUCAAGAGCAACGGCUCCCCGAACGAGAAGCAAAGAGCGACGACGAUUGAGGUGAAGGACUACCGAAGGUCAGAUCCGAGGGAUCCGACUAAGGACCACACUGCGUGAGAGGUAGGAGGCGAAAAGCGUUCGAGUGGCGUAAACCAGCUCAUUCGAGAAGCGGUGUGCACGGAUCACACUCGGUCAGCUCCUAGCAGCGGGGGCGAGGUAAAUCUAAUUCUUCUUCGGCCGACAUAGCGCCCCAUCUGCGAGGUACCCGCGGAUCGCCGAGCCCUUGACACAGACAGGGGUCCCCAACUCACCUUCGACGGGCAGGUCUGGCUGAUGACAGGUAUGCGGAGAGAUGCACGAAGCAAAGGUAGCAGCAGACGUGAGUUCUAGGAUUAAGAACAUGUAAAAAGGAAGAAAAGAAGCAUGCAUAGUGAGCAGGAGAGUAGGGCCGCAGAAAGAAGCAUGAAGGGUAUGAAGCACAAUAAUAAAAUGUUUGCACACUAAGUCUUGUUUUGUGGCGUUUGUAGUUGACUAGCCCGGCCGACUAAUCCCCUUUUAUCACGG